This 489-nucleotide ribosomal RNA is filed under the name uncultured bacterium. Its description in RNAcentral is "partial 16S ribosomal RNA". It matches the Rfam family "Bacterial small subunit ribosomal RNA", at positions 28 to 507 of the family's 1533-position model. The record is from RNAcentral.
GACGAACGCUGGCGGCGUGCUUAACACAUGCAAGUCGAACGGUGAAGGGACCAGCUUGCUGGUUCUGGAUGAGUGGCGAACGGGUGAGUAACACGUGAGUAACCUGCCCCCUUCUUCUGGAUAACCUCAUGAAAGUGUGGCUAAUACGGGAUAUUCUGGGUCUGUCGCAUGGCGGGCCCGGGAAAGAUAUUGCUUCGGUGGGGGAUGGGCUCGCGGCCUAUCAGCUUGUUGGUGGGGUGAUGGCCUACCAAGGCGGUGACGGGUAGCCGGCCUGAGAGGGUGGACGGUCACACUGGGACUGAGACACGGCCCAGACUCCUACGGGAGGCAGCAGUGGGGAAUAUUGCACAAUGGGCGCAAGCCUGAUGCAGCGACGCCGCGUGAGGGAUGGAGGCCUUCGGGUUGUAAACCUCUUUCGCCAGUGAAGCAGGCCUGCUCCUUGUGGGUGGGUUGACGGUAGCUGGAUAAGAAGCGCCGGCUAACUACGUG